Long non-coding RNA from Hemibagrus wyckioides, 928 nucleotides. RefSeq lists it as uncharacterized. NCBI's taxonomy places the organism in Eukaryota, Metazoa, Chordata, Actinopteri, Siluriformes, Bagridae. The record is from RefSeq and is a predicted model, not a curated record. The transcript has 6 exons.
GCCAGCCUACGGAACUAUAUUAUGUUAGCCCAUGUCUUUUCCAUAGUUCCACGCUGAAUUUGAAACGUCUCGUCUAUAAUAUUUCGUUAAAAUGAUCACCAGUGCAAAUUAUAUUGCUAAAACGCGCGUAUAGUAAGUGAGUAAGUGCUCGUAUUGGUGUGAGCGAAAACCUGGCAACCGUCGACACAGUGAUGACGUGAUCACCGCGCGCCAUUUUCCCGACUUGUAGCAUGCGUUCUUUUUUCCUUUUUCGUUCGAGGUGCUGGAAGGUGCACGUGCUAAGUCUAAGUUAUGACCAAGCUAAUCAUAAUGCACAUUAAAAAAAAAAGCAGAAACGCAGCAGAGUCACCAUGAUACCCAACGGAUCACCGUCAUGGGUAGAACACUGGGAGAUGUGCAGAUGAUUGGGAAGGCCACUGAAGACCUUGUCAUGCUCAUGAAACCAGUUUGAGAAGACUUUUGAUUCGUCACAUAGCAUGCUGGAAGUAGCCAUUGAAAGAUGGGUGAAUUGAUGCACAGAUGGAUAAAGGGAGCAGUGUCUAGGCCUUCCUGAGGUUUCGUGCUGGAUUUGUCAAACGGCAGUGAAGAUGAACAUACCAAUACGGAAUCUUCUGUCCUGUAAAAGUAAAGCCUGGGAUUGAUUCACAUCUCAGAAGUUUGCAUACUAUAUGACUAUCAGAUAAAUUUCUAUAUUUUGAAACAGAACAGCUGGAACUUUUCAAGGAGAAUGCAAAGAUAUAUGCAGAUAAAUGCCCUUUACCACCAACAUAAAGUUGAUGGUGUAAAACAGCAUACAUACAGGUCAAGCCAAAUGAGGCAUGUAUGUUAAAUACUAAAUAUAUUUUAAUGGAAAUCUAAGUCUGUGUUAAAUUAAUUGUUCAUCAUUUAACAUUUGAAUUUUCAUUAAAAUUAAUAAAUUGAAAUACUG